RNAcentral lists this ribosomal RNA (259 nucleotides) under uncultured bacterium. Its description in RNAcentral is "partial 16S ribosomal RNA". It matches the Rfam family "Bacterial small subunit ribosomal RNA", at positions 793 to 1055 of the family's 1533-position model. The record is from RNAcentral.
GUCCAUGCCGUAAACGUUGGGCACUAGGUGUGGGCUCAUUCCACGAGUUCCGUGCCGCAGCUAACGCAUUAAGUGCCCCGCCUGGGGAGUACGGCCGCAAGGCUAAACUCAAAGGAAUUGACGGGGCCCGCACAAGCGGCGGAGCAUGCGGAUUAAUUCGAUGCAACGCGAAGAACCUUACCAAGGCUUGACAUGCACCGGACGCUGCCAGAGAUGGUGGUUCCGCAAGGUCGGUGCACAGGUGGUGCAUGGUUGUCGU